UAGGGAAUAUUGCUCAAUGGGCGAAAGCCUGAAGCAGCAACGCCGCGUGUGCGAUGAAGGCCUUCGGGUCGUAAAGCACUUUUCUGGGAGAUGAGAAAGGACAGUAUCCCAGGAAUAAGUCUCGGCUAACUACGUGCCAGCAGCCGCGGUAAAACGUAGGAGGCAAGCGUUAUCCGGAUUCACUGGGCGUAAAGCGCGUGCAGGUGGCGCGGUAAGUUAGGCGUGAAAUCUCCCGGCUCAACUGGGAGAGGUCGUCUAAUACUACCGUGCUUGAGAGCAGAAGAGGAAGAUGGAAUUCCCGGUGUAGUGGUGAAAUGCGUAGAUAUCGGGAGGAACACCAGUGGCGAAGGCGAUCUUCUGGUCUGUUUCUGACACUCAGACGCGACAGCUAGGGUAGUAAACGGGAUUAGAGACCCCGGUAAUCCUAGCCGUAAACGAUGUGAACUUGGCGUUGGUGGGUUAAACUCCAUCAGUGCCGAAGCAAACGCGAUAAGUUCACCGCCUGGGGACUACGGCCGCAAGGUUAA
Molecule: ribosomal RNA, 527 nt
Filed under: uncultured Anaerolineaceae bacterium
Lineage: Bacteria; Bacillati; Chloroflexota; Anaerolineae; Anaerolineales; Anaerolineaceae
Description: bacterial SSU rRNA
Rfam family: Bacterial small subunit ribosomal RNA
Source: RNAcentral